RNAcentral lists this small nuclear RNA (96 nucleotides) under Castor canadensis (American beaver). The record is from RNAcentral. Lineage: Eukaryota; Metazoa; Chordata; Mammalia; Rodentia; Castoridae.
GUGCUUGCUUUGGCAGUACAUAUACUACAAUACAGAGAAGACUAGCAUGUCUCCAACUGUGCAAGGAUGACAUGCAAAUUUGUGUUCUAUAGUUUA